Molecule: transfer RNA, 77 nt
Filed under: Halanaerobiaceae bacterium
Lineage: Bacteria; Bacillati; Bacillota; Clostridia; Halanaerobiales; Halanaerobiaceae
Description: tRNA-Pro
Rfam family: tRNA
About the family: Transfer RNA (tRNA) molecules are approximately 80 nucleotides in length. Their secondary structure includes four short double-helical elements and three loops (D, anti-codon, and T loops).
Source: RNAcentral
CUAGCUGUGGCGCAGUUUGGUAGCGCGCUUGCUUCGGGAGCUAGAGGCCCCGGGUUCAAAUCCCGGCAGCUAGACCA